CUUUUGACACCAUUUUCAUGGUCCACUGAACAUAGAAAUUAAAAGUAUGAGUUUCAGGUUAAAGUUUUUGGUCAAGGUAGUUUUUGAUGAAGCUGAAGUCCAAUCAACUUGAAACUUAGUACACAUGUUUCUUAUGAUAUGAUCUUUCAUAUUUUUAAACCAAAUUAGACUUUUGACCCUAUUUUCAUGGUCCACUGAACAUAGAAAUUAAAAGUGUGAGUUUCAGGUUAAAGUUUUAGGUCAAGGUAGUUUUUGAUGAAGUUAAAGUCCAAUCAACUUGAAACUUAGUACACAUGUUCCUUAUUAGUUGAUCUUUUUACUUUUAAGGCCAAAUUAGAUUUUUUACCCAAUUUCACGGUCCAUUGAACAUGGAAAACGAUAAUGCGAGUGGGGCAUCCGUGUACUUUGGACACAUUCUUGUUUACCAAUAAAUCCUUAUAGUGUAACAUUUAUAAUACAAGUACAUGUAAGCUAAACAGAGGAUGGAC
Molecule: long non-coding RNA, 488 nt
Filed under: Mytilus galloprovincialis (Mediterranean mussel)
Lineage: Eukaryota; Metazoa; Mollusca; Bivalvia; Mytilida; Mytilidae
Source: RNAcentral